UGGGCUGAGGGGCAGGGCGUGAAGUGGAGAGAGGAAGGCUUGAGUAGGGCUGGGGUGUCAUUUUGCAGGCUGGGGAUCAGGGUUCAUGAGGCUGGAAGGGAGCACAGUGGGCACUGAGGGGCAGCAGGGUGCUGUGAGUAGCGAGGCUGAGGGGAAUAGGGACCAUGAGGGGAGGGUACGGGAUGCAAAUGGACAGGGAGUGUCCCUUGAGCAUCAUGUGUCAUGGGAUCUGUGGUGGGGGUUGCUUCCAGAAGAAAUACAGCUCCAGCUCAUGGCAGAAGAUCACUAGGUCUUCUUGGGAAGCCAGCAUUCAUCAGGUGUUCCUGCUGACCAUGGAGUGGCUGCUGAAUCUGCACCCUCGCCAAGGUGGCUGAACCGAAGAUCUGUCUGCGUUAUGGUGAGAGUUCUGCCCCUGCAGUUCCAUUUGUUUAUACCUGUGUGGUCUCUUUAGGCUGUAGAAGGUAUUUUUGCCAAAGUAGAUGGUAAAUGUGAAUAAAUUCCAAUU
Long non-coding RNA from Lagopus muta (rock ptarmigan), 505 nucleotides. RefSeq lists it as uncharacterized. The record is from RefSeq and is a predicted model, not a curated record. The transcript is spliced from 3 exons. Lineage: Eukaryota; Metazoa; Chordata; Aves; Galliformes; Phasianidae.